CCUCGCCCCCUCCUCUUCCCCUCCCUCCCAUCUCCACCUCCCCUAUGGACGUUUAAUCGUCAACUGUUUAUCCCACAUGAGAACUUUUUUCUUCUUCUUCUUCUAAUUUGUCUUUUCUUUUUUUUCUUCCUCCGUGGGAAGGUUAAAAAGUGACCCUCUCCUCACACUCAAAACGCCUGUUUUUUUUUUUUUUUCUUAAUCCACAGAGAGUCUAACGCAUGCGCGUCUCCACGUGGUGAGUGAUUUACUGAUGUUUAUCAGGAAUGAAUAGAUCAAAGGCAAGUUGCAUGACAGACGAUCAAUCAAGCAUCAAAUCAAGGAUGGCAAUCCCAGAGCGGAACCCAAGCUGGAAAUAUGCAACUUUUCAUUCUUUUCUUUUCAAACAACGCUGGGCUCUGACACAAUCAUGCAAAGGAGAAGACACACUGCAGAGAAGUCCUGCACGCAGGAUGUCGAAUCAGGUUGUCUUAAAGAAACAAGGACGGAUGCAGGACAGUUCAGUUGAUUGUCGAAGGAAUUGGCCCGACUCGACUAUAAUCAAUACGUUUUAAGAAAAUGGAGCUACGUCCAGCUGUGCUUCUAUCUCACAAACAUUACUCUGUCUGAUCUUGGAAAGCUAUUAUCUCUCCGACAAAAGAUGGAUCUCAGAAACAGAAUGACUCCGUCUUCGAUCUGACUCAGAAUGGAAAGUCUUUACGAGACAAUUUUUGUUGGACGCCAGAAAAGCUUGUGAAAUAUUUGCCUUUAACGAGACGUUUCCUCCUGCCAGAUAUCACCCUGAUCAAUGACGCUUCUGCUCCAAGAGAAACGACAAUACCUGGAGCCACGAUCCUUCUGAAUUGCUGCUGAAGAAGACGGUCGCACCUUCCUGAUUCUGGUUCUGCUGGUUCCUUCUUGUUAAAUCACAUUUGUUUUUACAGUGUUAAAUCAGAGAUAUUUAGUUAAAGGUGGAAUGCAUUUGUUUAGAUUUAAACUGAAAUCUGACUAUUUCAUGUAUCGUGAUUUGGAUGGGUUCAGCUUUUAUGUAUUAAAAGUUCACUUGGAUGACUUUAUGUAGUUUAGGGCCUGUACUCAAUUUAUAUAUGUAUAUAAAACUUGUUAGAAUGCCUCAAAUCUG
Molecule: long non-coding RNA, 1117 nt
Organism: Xiphophorus maculatus (southern platyfish)
Lineage: Eukaryota; Metazoa; Chordata; Actinopteri; Cyprinodontiformes; Poeciliidae
Exons: 4
Source: RefSeq, a predicted model, not a curated record